UCUCUCUCUCUCUCUCUCGCCCUCUCUCUCUCGGCCCCCCGAGCUGCCACCGACGGAGCGCCAGCGCCGGGUUUCCCUGCUCCACGAGCUCUUCCCUUUUUGUUUCGAGCCUCACCAUUGGACAGCGGAACAAAAGUUUCUCUGGCGACGGCCAAUCAAUGAUGUCACGUACAGCUGUCCCAUUUAGGAAUACAGUGCAACACGCAUGCCUUCUGCACUGUGUGAUAGCACUGCACAUUCAACAGCUGAUACAGUCUGUUGUCAAGCAUGCAAACAUGGAGCCCACAACCAUAAUUGAAUAAGGGUGUUCUAGAACAGAGUCAAGAGCCAGAGAAAUUGCAUCUGCUGUUGACCAGUUAUGAUAGUAGACAAACUGAAGCUAAUCCAGGUCAACUCUGAGGAAAGAGUUCAUUCAUGUCACGAUCACCCUUCGAAG
Hypanus sabinus (Atlantic stingray) is the source of this 436-nucleotide long non-coding RNA. RefSeq lists it as uncharacterized. The transcript has 3 exons. Lineage: Eukaryota; Metazoa; Chordata; Chondrichthyes; Myliobatiformes; Dasyatidae. The record is from RefSeq and is a predicted model, not a curated record.